AUUGAACGCUGGCGGCAGGCCUAACACAUGCAAGUCGAACGAGUGGCGGACGGGUGAGUAAUGUCUGGGAAACUGCCCGCUCGAGGGGGAUAACUACUGGAAACGGUAGCUAAUACCACAUACCAUCGGAGGUGCCCCGAUGGGAUUAGCUAGUAGGUGGGGUAACGGCUCACCUAGGCGACGGUCCCUAGCUUGUCUGAGAGGAUAACCAGCAAAACUGGAACUGAGACACGGUCCAGAUUCCGACGGGAGGCAGGAGUGGGGAAUAUGGCACAAUGGGAGUGAGACUGAUGCGGCCAUGGGGCGGGUAUGAAGAAGGCCUUCGGGUUGUAAAGGACUUGCAGCGUUGAGGCGUUGCUUGCAGAAGAAGCGUCGGCUAACUCCGUGCCAGCAGCGGCGGUAAUAC
This 406-nucleotide ribosomal RNA is filed under the name uncultured bacterium. RNAcentral's name for it is "partial 16S ribosomal RNA". It matches the Rfam family "Bacterial small subunit ribosomal RNA", at positions 29 to 526 of the family's 1533-position model. The record is from RNAcentral.